CCUACGGGAGACAGCAGUGAGGAAUAUUGGUCAAUGGACGAGAGUCUGAACCAGCCAAGUAGCGUGAAGGAUGACUGCCCUAUGGGUUGUAAACUUCUUUUAUAUGGGAAUAAAAUGUUCCACGUGUGGGAUUUUGUAUGUACCAUAUGAAUAAGGAUCGGCUAACUCCGUGCCAGCAGCCGCGGUAAUACGGAGGAUACGAGCGUUAUCCGGAUUUAUUGGGUUUAAAGGGAGCGUAGGUGGAUUGUUAAGUCAGUUGUGAAAGUUUGCGGCUCAACCGUAAAAUUGCAGUUGAAACUGGGAGUCUUGAGUACGGUAGAGGUGGGCGGAAGUCGUGGUGUAGCGGUGAAAUGCUUAGAUAUCACGAAGAACUCCGAUUGCGAAGGCAGCUCACUGGACUGCAACUGACACUGAGGCUCGAAAGUGUGGGUAUCAAACAGGAUUAGAUACCCGGGUAGUC
This 460-nucleotide ribosomal RNA is filed under the name uncultured bacterium. RNAcentral describes it as "partial 16S ribosomal RNA". It matches the Rfam family "Bacterial small subunit ribosomal RNA", at positions 338 to 795 of the family's 1533-position model. The record is from RNAcentral.